Molecule: ribosomal RNA, 251 nt
Filed under: uncultured prokaryote
Description: partial 16S rRNA
Rfam family: Bacterial small subunit ribosomal RNA
Source: RNAcentral
ACGGAGGGUGCAAGCGUUAAUCGGAAUCACUGGGCGUAAAGCGCGCGUAGGCGGUCUUUUAAGUCGGACGUGAAAGCCCUCGGCUCAACCGGGGAACUGCGUUCGAAACUGGGGGACUUGAGUCUUGGAGAGGGGGGCGGAAUUCCGGGUGUAGGAGUGAAAUGCGUAGAUAUGCGGAGGAACACCGAUGGCGAAGGCGGCCACCUGGGCUGGUACUGACGCUGAUGCGCGAAAGCGUGGGGAGCAAACAG